UUGAUUCCAUUCAAAAAUAUACACAUUGCUGUAUAAAUACAUGCCCAACUCUCUAAAAAGUAUAAUUGUGUAAUUUUCAACUAAUGUGUCUCAUUAAAAACAUGCAUUUUGAACAUUUAGCAGCAGACCACUCACACACUCACACACACACACACAAAGUAAAUCCCUGUUGACAGGAAGUGAACGUGGGCCUGUGUUUAGUGUCCAGACGUUGGCAGAUUGUGACCUUAUCAAUGUGAAACUUUUAAAGAUAAAUUAUUCAUAGCACCUGUUUAUUAAUGUGUCCGGCCAAAGAAUGACGAAGGUGCAAGAUUCAAGGCGCGACUCAAAGCUGCGAGCGAGCGUCAGCAUCAGCCCCGAGGCUGCUGUGCUACUUUGUGUGUCUCCUUUAUUCAGAGCUGAAUAUGAAAAAAUAAAAUAAAAUGAACCACGUGUCUCCUGACAGGAGGUGAAGAGGAGAGAGGAAAAGACAACAACACAGAAAGCACAGAGUGACAUGGACAUGGACGUGGAGGCGAGACGGUCAGAGAGACAGUGGGACGUGUCGUUGGUGCGACGCAAGGACCGAGACUGGGAUAAGAUGUAAAUUAUGGAGAGUGAUGUUUGGCGCCGAGUGUUAAGAUCACGUUGCCUGACAAUCAAAGCACUUAAAACUGUAGUGUUUAACUUAUUGAUAUGUACAAAUGUCAGUUACAUUUGAACCAUUGCUGCUAUACACACACAAACGCCCCCUCAGACAGGUCUGAUAGUUUUGCUUGACAGGCCCUGUUUUCAGGUGAAAAUCCAGAGCUGACCCAAGCCUUCGUGGGGCCCUAAGCAAAAUUAGAUUUUGGGGCCCUUUAUCCACGUAAAUGAUAUUCACAGGAUUCACCAGCUUGUCAAACACUUCUCAGUACUGUGACUCCUAAACGGUUGAAUAGCUGCCAGAAAUCGAAAGUGAAAGUUAUCUUGGAAAAAGGGAGCAGAAACUCACGCAAUUCUACAGCCAUAAAAUCGAAAUAAAUUAGGAUUAACCGUAUAUUGUCUUUCAUAGGAAUCUCAAAACAAUGGUCUUGUGUUGGUUUUUCACGUAGUGAAGGUUUCCACAAGUAUUCAAAAUGGCAGAGGUGAAUAGGGCGUUGGUCAACAAAAUGAAACAAUAACGAUGAAUAGAACAUGGUAUAACAUUAUCUUGCUUAUUGUGUUUUUGUCUUGGCUUGGGUAAUGUUUGUGAAUGUCACCAUAAACAAACAAAAAAAUAAUGUGUUAAAAAAAAUGAAAAAUAAAUACCGCAAUGAAUUGCUCUAUGGGGGGGCCCCCUGGUGGCCACUGGCCCCUGUUUGCUUAAGCCUUGGUGAAAGACGCAAUGUACAAAUAGUGUUACAUGAUUACGGUUCAUGGAAAACAAAAAAAAAACAGAAUAAUAUCAUCAACAACAAAAGUUAUGCAGAUAAAGAAGCUGGAAAUGAUCAGAAUGCCAGUGCUUAGUUGUUGCUCAGUAUUAUUGCAGUAGAUCAACUGACUGUUGUUUAUCAUGUUCACAAGAAGUUCAAAGAAUGUCCUCACUUAAAUUUAAUAGUGCAUUUAACCCAAUUUAUACCAUUCGUUUUGUUAUUUGACUUGAUUCUAUUGCAGUUUUCACUGUUUUUCCUUCUCCUACAUGCUUGUUUUAUUUAAUAAUACAAACUAGUUUGUUCCAAGUUUCAGAGCCGGGCUUCCCAGCAUGCUCUGAGGCAGGGUGUUGAAGUCAAAAUUGUGUUCUAAAUCAUCACAGAUGUCGCUUUGUACUCGGUUAUUGUUGCUCUUAUGUUAUGUGCACAUUUAGUUCACCGUUCCGCCGGCGGUGCGUGUCGGACUGAAGCUCCAAUUGUCACUUUUAACUUGCUAAAACAUAGAUAAUGUUUUUCACUGACCUAAAAGUUUAAGACUUUCUCUUAACUUGCAUAUGAAGACACAUGAAAUGACCAAGUAGUAUAUAAACAACAAGCUACUUUCUAACACCAACAGUUAACUAGGUAAUAAACUAACUCAACGCAGAGACAAAUCCAGGCUUCCUGGAACUCAAAUUCGUUUUGGAUCCCUUUUUUUUUUUUCUGUCUUUCUUUGAAAAUGAUCACAGAGCGCUUUUCGGGAAACUGGCAGCUUAUUCUUUCACAGCUGGAGGUCAAUAUAACACUCAGCAUUAAUAAAACAAAUAUGACUGGGAUGGAUAUUCACGAUGAUCUAUACAGAUGUACCGGGCAUGAGCGUGAAUCAUGUGUGUGAGAUAGUGCUGAAGGAGAGCAAAGGGGAGACACUCGCACGUCUCGUCUGUUUACUCGUCUCUGUGUUUGUGUGUGUGUGCGAUAGCCCAGUCAGUUUCCCUCAGAUGUUCCUUUUGACCUCUGACCCCAGAGUUGGGGUCAAGCCCUGACAAAUGAGAUGGUCGAGUUCUGGCCAGAACAGCAAACAUUCCACAACAAUCUUCUGUCCUCCUCCCCUCCCUUCAUAUCCGUCAUUCCUCACCCCUUCACUCCUCUCACUCUGUCUGGUCCACAAGUUGCCAGAGGAAGUUCUCAUUUCUUUUCAUUUUUUUGUUUUUGUUUUUAUUGUACGUGUUCAUUGCGGGCCUUAGCUUUUACAAUACUGGUUAAAAGCAAAAAAAACAACAAAAAAAACAAAAGAAAACAACAACCCUGACCUGCAUGUGGCUUAUUUACAGGACAGAAAACAACAGAGUACAUCUUAGAGGAGAGGUUGUGUUGGGAUUACAGGCUUGUAGUUGUGUGUGUGUGUGUGUGUGUGGAACGCUUGUCAGUGAUGUCAAAGAUGAGAAAUGUUGCAGUGUGGUUUUUUACACAUGCUGCUGGCUCUAGCAUUUCCGGCAACAUUUCUCACUCGGCCUCCCUCACACCAUCCACUCUUCUGCCAUAUCCCCACAUUUUUCCAUCCUUUCACUUCUUCCCCUAACCUCCCUCCCUCCCUCCCUUCCUCCCUCGCUCGCCUCAUCUCUGCUCCUUUUACCCUGCCCCACCCAAGCCAAUCGCAACCUCUCCCUCCACCUCCUCUCCCCCCCCACACCUUUUUCCCAUCCACUCACUAUUUUCUCAGAUUUUCUAACAUGCCAUUCCACAGAAUACCUACCACCUGUGUCUCUAGGGGGGGAAAAAGGGAGCUCUUGUUAUUCCUCUUCAAGAAACUGGUUAAGGUAAGUGGCACCAGCUAUUACAAUGGUUCUGGUUGUUGUGUUUCUGCAUUAACUUUUUUUCUCACGCACUGACCUCGGCUUCGCAAGCAUCACCACCCUCCAUCAGAGCUUUAGCUACAAGUCACUGCUGUAAACACACACACACACACACACACACAGAGUCACUACCAAUGAAUGUCAGCACCGCAGCCAUGGUGCCACGACGGAGCCUGGAGACCAACAAAGCCGGCUGAUACUGUAACGGCGAGUGGAUGGUGCUCUUGAACUUGCUUUCAUAAUGAUGUAAUAUGACUAAAAGGCAAUGCAACUCAGCAGAGAUCUUAAUAAAAACAUGUCAGUCUCGA
Long non-coding RNA from Solea senegalensis (Senegalese sole), 3510 nucleotides. RefSeq lists it as uncharacterized. The transcript is spliced from 2 exons. NCBI's taxonomy places the organism in Eukaryota, Metazoa, Chordata, Actinopteri, Pleuronectiformes, Soleidae. The record is from RefSeq and is a predicted model, not a curated record.